AAUCAAACCGGGAGAUAGCUGGUUCUCCCCGAAAGCUAUUUAGGUAGCGCCUCGUGAAUUCAUCUCCGGGGGUAGAGCACUGUUUCGGCUAGGGGGCCAUCCCGGCUUACCAACCCGAUGCAAACUGCGAAUACCGGAGAAUGUUAUCACGGGAGACACACGGCGGGUGCUAACGUCCGUCGUGAAGAGGGAAACAACCCAGACCGCCAGCUAAGGUCCCAAAGUCAUGGUUAAGUGGGAAACGAUGUGGGAAGGCCCAGACAGCCAGGAUGUUGGCUUAGAAGCAGCCAUCAUUUAAAGAAAGCGUAAUAGCUCACUGGUCGAGUCGGCCUGCGCGGAAGAUGUAACGGGGCUAAACCAUGCACCGAAGCUGCGGCAGCGACGCUGAUGCGUUGUUGGGUAGGGGAGCGUUCUGUAAGCCUGCG
This 425-nucleotide ribosomal RNA is filed under the name Salmonella enterica subsp. enterica serovar Brandenburg. RNAcentral's name for it is "partial 23S ribosomal RNA". It matches the Rfam family "Bacterial large subunit ribosomal RNA", at positions 831 to 1252 of the family's 2925-position model. Lineage: Bacteria; Pseudomonadati; Pseudomonadota; Gammaproteobacteria; Enterobacterales; Enterobacteriaceae. The record is from RNAcentral.